UACGUAGGGUGCAAGCGUUGGCCGGAAUUAUUGGGCGUAAAGAGCUCGUAGGCGGUCUGUCGCGUCUGCUGUGAAAACUCGGGGCUUAACCCCGGGCCUGCAGUGGGUACGGGCAGACUAGAGUGCGGUAGGGGAGACUGGAAUUCCUGGUGUAGCGGUGAAAUGCGCAGAUAUCAGGAGGAACACCGGUGGCGAAGGCGGGUCUCUGGGCCGUAACUGACGCUUAGGAGCGAAAGCAUUGGGAGCGAACAGG
This 253-nucleotide ribosomal RNA is filed under the name uncultured bacterium. Its description in RNAcentral is "partial 16S ribosomal RNA". It matches the Rfam family "Bacterial small subunit ribosomal RNA", at positions 524 to 776 of the family's 1533-position model. The record is from RNAcentral.